Molecule: ribosomal RNA, 474 nt
Filed under: uncultured bacterium
Lineage: Bacteria
Description: bacterial SSU rRNA
Rfam family: Bacterial small subunit ribosomal RNA
Source: RNAcentral
UGACAGUACUCCUACGGGAGGCAGCAGUGGGGGAAUAUUGCACAAUGGGCGCAAGCCUGAUGGAGCAACACCGCGUGAGUGAAGAAGGCCUUCGGGUUGUAAAGCACUUUCAGUUGUGAGGAAGGUGGUGUCGUUAAUAGCGGCAUCAUUUGACGUUAGCAACAGAAGAAGCACCGGCUAACUCCGUGCCAGCAGCCGCGGUAAUACGGAGGGUGCGAGCGUUAAUCGGAAUUACUGGGCGUAAAGCGCAUGCAGGUGGUUUGUUAAGUCAGAUGUGAAAGCCCCGGGGCUCAACCUCGGAACUGCAUUUGAAACUGGCAGACUAGAGUACUGUAGAGGGGGUAGAAUUUCAGGUGUAGCGGUGAAAUGCGUAGAGAUCUGAAGGAAUACCGGUGGCGAAGGCGGCCCCCUGGACAGAUACUGACACUCAGAUGCGAAAGCGUGGGGAGCAAACAGGAUUAGAUACCCUGGUAG